RNAcentral lists this ribosomal RNA (458 nucleotides) under uncultured bacterium. Its description in RNAcentral is "bacterial SSU rRNA". It matches the Rfam family "Bacterial small subunit ribosomal RNA", at positions 338 to 795 of the family's 1533-position model. The record is from RNAcentral.
CCUACGGGUGGCAGCAGUAGGGAAUAUUGGUCAAUGGACGGAAGUCUGAACCAGCCAUGCCGCGUGCAGGAAGAAGGUCCUCUGGAUUGUAAACUGCUUUUGUCAGGGAAUAAAAUUGGGUUAAGACCUAAUUGAAGGUACCUGGAGAAUAAGCACCGGCUAACUCCGUGCCAGCAGCCGCGGUAAUACGGAGGGUGCAAGCGUUGUCCGGAUUUAUUGGGUUUAAAGGGUGCGUAGGCGGCCAAUUAAGUCAGUGGUGAAAGACUCCCGCUCAACGGGAGAACUGCCAUUGAUACUGAAGGGCUAGCGUACAGUUGAGGUAGUUGGAAUGAGUAGUGUAGCGGUGAAAUGCAUAGAUAUUACUCAGAACACCGAUUGCGAAGGCAGAUUACUAAGCUGUUACGGACGCUGAGGCACGAAAGCGUGGGGAUCAAACAGGAUUAGAUACCCUGGUAGUC